AGGAGCUUGCUCCUGAAUUCAGCGGCGGACGGGUGAGUAAUGCCUAGGAAUCUGSCUGGUAGUGGGGGACAACGUUUCGAAAGGAACGCUAAUACCGRWUACGUCCRACGGGAGAAAGCAGGGGACCUUCGGGCCUUGCGCUAUCAGAUGAGCCUAGGUCGGAUUAGCUAGUUGGUGAGGUGAAUGGCUCACCAAGGCGACGAUCCGUAACUGGUCUGAGAGGAUGAUCAGUGCACACUGGAACUGAGACACGGUCCAGACUCCUACGGGAGGCAGCAGUGGGGAAUAUUGGACAAUGGGCGAAAGCCUGAUCCAGCCAUGCCGCGUGUGUGAAGAAGGUCUUCGGAUUGUAAAGCACUUUAAGUUGGGAGGAAGGGCAGUAAGUUAAUACCUUGCUGUUUUGACGUUACCGACAGAAUAAGCACCGGCUAACUCUGUGCCAGCAGCCGCGGUAAUACAGAGGGUGCAAGCGUUAAUCGGAAUUACUGGGCGUAAAGCGCGCGUAGGUGGUUUGUUAAGUUGGAUGUGAAAGCCCCGGGCUCAACCUGGGAACUGCAUUCAAAACUGACAAGCUAGAGUAUGGUAGAGGGUGGUGGAAUUUCCUGUGUAGCGGUGAAAUGCGUAGAUAUAGGAAGGAACACCAGUGGCGAAGGCGACCACCUGGACUGAUACUGACACUGAGGU
RNAcentral lists this ribosomal RNA (684 nucleotides) under Pseudomonas sp. RNAcentral's name for it is "bacterial SSU rRNA". It matches the Rfam family "Bacterial small subunit ribosomal RNA", at positions 74 to 752 of the family's 1533-position model. Lineage: Bacteria; Pseudomonadati; Pseudomonadota; Gammaproteobacteria; Pseudomonadales; Pseudomonadaceae. The record is from RNAcentral.